Molecule: long non-coding RNA, 410 nt
Filed under: Homo sapiens (human)
Lineage: Eukaryota; Metazoa; Chordata; Mammalia; Primates; Hominidae
Description: non-protein coding lnc-ALG2-6:19
Source: RNAcentral
GCAGUGGGGAGCUGUUGAGAGCAUUUUGAGUGGGGCAGUGACACUGCUGGCUCUGCAUUUUGGAAAGGUGGUUUUCAGAGCAGUUUGGAUGAUGCUGGGGAGUAGCUGACAGGUUGAAGAUCAGUCCUGAGGAGCAGAUUCAUAAUCCACUUAGGAAAAAGGAGGGGGGAUGCACGGAGUUAGCACAUAUUAAGUGCCUGCUGUAGUCAAGCCCUGUUGGACACCAGGGACAUCUGGACCUUGACAACGGAGCGAAGGGGUGGUCCUGCCUGCACCAGGUUUCAGGGUCCAGCCACUUUGUCACAAGCUACAUCUAUGGCGAGCAACGACUCCCGGCUGCAGGGUGAGACAGAUAAGAGGAUAAGAGGGAGCAGGAGCAGACGGAGAAAGAAGGUGGCAAGACAGAGCAG